Molecule: non-coding RNA, 84 nt
Organism: Bombyx mori (domestic silkworm)
Lineage: Eukaryota; Metazoa; Arthropoda; Insecta; Lepidoptera; Bombycidae
Source: Rfam
UUAACAAAAAUUUGUGUGAAAUUGGAACGUUUGCCUACGUUUGCCGCUAGGGGCGCUGUUCCAACUGCCUACAAAUUUCAGUUA